GAUGAACGCUGGCGGCGUGCCCCUUUAUGCAAGUCGAACGCGCAGCGAGAGGUGCUUGCACCUUUCAAGCGAGUGGCGAACGGGUGAGUAACACGUGGAUAACCUGCCUCAAGGCUGGGGAUAACAUUUGGAAACAGAUGCUAAUACCGAAUAAAACUUAGUAUCGCAUGAUAUCAAGUUAAAAGGCGCUACGGCGUCACCUAAAGAUGGAUCCGCGGUGCAUUAGUUAGUUGGGGGGGUAAAGGCUUACCAAGACAAUGAUGCAUAGCCAAGUUGAGAGACUGAUCGGCCACAUUGGGACUGAAACACGGCCCAAACUCCUACGGGAGGCUGCAGUAGGGAAUCUUCCACAAUGGGCGCAAGCCUGAUGGAGCACCGCCGCGUGUGUGAUGAAGGCUUUCGGGUCGUAAAGCACUGUUGUAUGGAAAGAAAUGCUAAAAUAGGGAAUGAUUUUAGUUUGACGGUACCAUACCAAAAAGGGACGGCUAAAUACGUG
Molecule: ribosomal RNA, 496 nt
Filed under: uncultured bacterium
Lineage: Bacteria
Description: bacterial SSU rRNA
Rfam family: Bacterial small subunit ribosomal RNA
Source: RNAcentral